GACCUGGAUCUAUGCGAUUGCAACACCCAAAUCUUGUCAGAACCGGAAGGUAGCAGCAACACGGGAGGCUUGUAAUAGGCGUAGUCUCCGGGUCGCCCUAUU
Molecule: signal recognition particle RNA, 102 nt
Filed under: Nostoc punctiforme PCC 73102
Lineage: Bacteria; Bacillati; Cyanobacteriota; Cyanophyceae; Nostocales; Nostocaceae
Description: ffs
Rfam family: Bacterial small signal recognition particle RNA
About the family: The signal recognition particle (SRP) is a universally conserved ribonucleoprotein involved in the co-translational targeting of proteins to membranes. Archaeal SRP consists of a 7S RNA and homologues of the eukaryotic SRP19 and SRP54 proteins. In most bacteria, the SRP consists of a 4.5S RNA and the Ffh protein (a homologue of the eukaryotic SRP54 protein).
Source: RNAcentral